UUGAGAUACAGAAAAGCCGGUAACCAGUUCUUGUUUGUCUCCCUGAAGACAUUUAUUUCCCUGGCAUUCAUACAGGACCUGGUAGAGAGAGCAAUUAUUGAGAUACAGGUUGGAAAGCCGGUAACCAGACCAGGAACUUUCAUUCAUACAGGAGCUGGUAGAGAGAGCAAUUAUUGAGAUACAGGUUGGAAAGCCGGUAACCAGACCAGGAACUUACAUCCAUACAGGACUUGGUAGAGAGAGCAAUUAUUGAGAUACAGGAAAGCCGGUAUAAAGACCAGGACUUUUCCUUCAUACAGGACUUGGUAGAGAGAGCAAUUAUUGAGAUACAGGUUGGAAAGCCGGUAACCAGUCCAGGAACUUUCCUUCAUACAGGACUUGGUAGAGAGAGCAAUUAUUGAGAUACAGGAAAGCCGGUAACCAGACCAGGACCUUUCCUUCAUACAGGACUUGGUAGAGAGAGCAAUUAUUGAGAUACAGGAAAGCCGGUAACCAGUCCAAGAACUUUCCUUCAUACAGGACUUGGUAGAGAGAGCAAUUAUUGAGAUACAGGAAAGCCGGUAACCAGACCAGGAACUUUCCUUCAUACAGGACUUGGUAGAGAGAGCAAUUAUUGAGAUACAGGUUGGAAAGCCGGUAACCAGACCAGGAACUUUCCUUCAUACAGGACCUGGUAGAGAGAGCAAUUAUUGAGAUACAGGUUGGAAAGCCGGUAACCAGUCCAGGAACUUUCCUUCACAGAAUGCCAUAUUGGUGUUGACUGUGGGAUGCAUUUAUCUGGCUAAUACAACAUAUUUUUCCGCUAUGUUUGAUGUUGUCAUAGGUUUAUUCAGUAGCCAUGUUGGAACAGAAAAUUGUCUUUGAAAAGGAGAAGAGAUUUAAAGAGGUAACGCAGAUGAUGGGCUUAUCAGAUAGUGUGCACUGGUGGGCGUGGUUAAUACCUGCCGCGGUACAGAUGACUGUUACUGUAAGUAAGUAAGUAAGUAAGUAACAACUUUAUUUAAUGAGGCUAACACAUUCGGUUUCCCGAUCUUCCAUGCGGGCCUCAGCAUAUACAUAGCAUAUACAUAACAAUAUAUACAUUACACAUUUUAAAUAACAUAUAUACACAAAUAGAAAAAAAACAACAACAAAAAACAAACCAAAAAAAAAAAAAAAAAAAAACGAACAUCAAGAAACCACAUUUUCAUAAUCUGGGCAUGAAAAAUACAUUAUUUUACAAGUAAGAUGAAAACAAAUUUGUAAAAACAAAACAUUAAACAUUAUACCUUCUAUUCUUGUGUGGCAUUAUCAUUUCAACAAAAUGUACACUCAUUUAAUUAGAAAAUUGCCACUUAAUAUAUGUGGCUUGAAAUUUCUUCAAAGUAUCUGAAUUUCGAAUAUAAAUUGGAAUGUCAUUCCAUAUUUUAGGACCAGAAUAGUCAAAUGAUUUCCUAAAGUACUCAGUUGUUGGUUUCGGUAUGACUAGUUUCUCAUUUUGAACAGAUCUUAAGUUGAAGUUGUGUUUGUCAUUUAUCACUUUGAAUUUAUUUUUCAUAUAAUUAGGAAAAGAUGGUUCAUUUAUAGAUUUAUACAUGAG
Molecule: long non-coding RNA, 1579 nt
Organism: Ruditapes philippinarum (Manila clam)
Lineage: Eukaryota; Metazoa; Mollusca; Bivalvia; Venerida; Veneridae
Exons: 3
Source: RefSeq, a predicted model, not a curated record